RNAcentral lists this long non-coding RNA (210 nucleotides) under Mytilus galloprovincialis (Mediterranean mussel). Lineage: Eukaryota; Metazoa; Mollusca; Bivalvia; Mytilida; Mytilidae. The record is from RNAcentral.
CGUGGCUGUUUCUUGUCUAAUAAACGUUUAGAACAUGUUAAUUCUGUAACUUUAUUCAUGACCAACGUUUGGUUAUCAGUCCAAAGUGCAAGGGAAGUGUGCAGAAACUUCUGCGAAAACUUAACAUCGAUAUGAACUCUGAAGGUCGCAUCCAAUGUAAAAAUUUCUGGAUUUUCCAUCGAUUUCUAUCAAGGAUUUGUAUAGUCUUGA